AUGUUAAAAUCAUACGAUUUUCAGGAACACCUAAGUGUGUUUACAAAUUCCAUGCAUAUCCACUGGAUUUCUUCAAAACAGAAAGCCAUUGUGAUGCAACACAGAAAUUACUGGAGACCCAGCAUGUGGAUGACAGCAGCAGCACAAAAGGAGCACACCACCUUAACAGCAGGCUUGAUGGUUGUUCACACAAGGAGUCUGGCCUGCAUAAUUGUAUCACUAAUAAGCAGUAAGGCAAUUAGUUGUCACAGCCUCUGUGACAGAUUUGUAGUAAGGAAGGUCUAAUAGAAGAAAUCAAGGUUUUUUGAGAAGAUCAGAGAUAAAACAGCCCAAAUCGUUGCCAGAGAAGACUGGAGUAAAAAUGUGCUUAUGAAGCUAGAGAUUUGACUGUGUGAGCAUAUCUGAAGGCAAAACUAUGUGUAUAGGAACCCUGAAAAUGGAUUUUUAAAAAUUAUUAUAAAUAUGUUUUUAAAGAGUGGAGCAUCAUCUCCCUGUCGUAUUUCCUCAAGGGAUUAAUUAUGUUUUGCCUAAUAAAUUGUGAAGG
This 544-nucleotide long non-coding RNA is filed under the name Anser brachyrhynchus (Pink-footed goose). Its description in RNAcentral is "lncRNA (ENSABRG00000020040.1)". The record is from RNAcentral. Lineage: Eukaryota; Metazoa; Chordata; Aves; Anseriformes; Anatidae.